UUAUGGGUGGCGAGUGGCGGACGGGUGAGGAAUACAUCGGAAUCUACUCUUUCGUGGGGGAUAACGUAGGGAAACUUACGCUAAUACCGCAUACGACCUACGGGUGAAAGCGGAGGACCUUCGGGCUUCGCGCGAUUGAAUGAGCCGAUGUCGGAUUAGCUAGUUGGCGGGGUAAAGGCCCACCAAGGCGACGAUCCGUAGCUGGUCUGAGAGGAUGAUCAGCCACACUGGAACUGAGACACGGUCCAGACUCCUACGGGAGGCAGCAGUGGGGAAUAUUGGACAAUGGGCGCAAGCCUGAUCCAGCCAUGCCGCGUGGGUGAAGAAGGCCUUCGGGUUGUAAAGCCCUUUUGUUGGGAAAGAAAAGCAGUCGGUUAAUACCCGAUUGUUCUGACGGUACCCAAAGAAUAAGCACCGGCUAACUUCGUGCCAGCAGCCGCGGUAAUACGAAGGGUGCAAGCGUUACUCGGAAUUACUGGGCGUAAAGCGUGCGUAGGUGGUGGUUUAAGUCUGUUGUGAAAGCCCUGGGCUCAACCUGGGAAUUGCAGUGGAUACUGGGUCACUAGAGUGUGGUAGAGGGUAGCGGAAUUCCCGGUGUAGCAGUGAAAUGCGUAGAGAUCGGGAGGAACAUCCGUGGCGAAGGCGGCUACCUGGACCAACACUGACACUGAGGCACGAAAGCGUGGGGAGCAAACAGGA
Molecule: ribosomal RNA, 699 nt
Filed under: Xanthomonas sp. EECC-449
Lineage: Bacteria; Pseudomonadati; Pseudomonadota; Gammaproteobacteria; Lysobacterales; Lysobacteraceae
Description: bacterial SSU rRNA
Rfam family: Bacterial small subunit ribosomal RNA
Source: RNAcentral